Molecule: ribosomal RNA, 253 nt
Filed under: uncultured bacterium
Lineage: Bacteria
Description: partial 16S ribosomal RNA
Rfam family: Bacterial small subunit ribosomal RNA
Source: RNAcentral
UACGAAGGGGGCUAGCGUUGUUCGGAAUCACUGGGCGUAAAGCGCACGCAGGCGGAUUGAUAAGUCAGGGGUGAAAUCCCGGAGCUCAACUUCGGAAUUGCCUUUGAUACUGUUAAUCUCGAGUCCGGGAGAGGUGAGUGGAAUUCCUAGUGUAGAGGUGAAAUUCGUAGAUAUUAGGAAGAACACCAGUGGCGAAGGCGGCUCACUGGCCCGGUACUGACGCUCAUGUGCGAAAGCGUGGGGAGCAAACAGG